AGUGAACGCUGGCGGUAGGCCUAACACAUGCAAGUCGAACGGCAGCACAGUAAGAGCUUGCUCUUACGGGUGGCGAGUGGCGGACGGGUGAGGAAUACAUCGGAAUCUACUUUUUCGUGGGGGAUAACGUAGGGAAACUUACGCUAAUACCGCAUACGACCUACGGGUGAAAGCAGGGGAUCUUCGGACCUUGCGCGAUUGCAUGAGCCGAUGUCGGAUUAGCUAGUUGGCGGGGUAAAGGCCCACCAAGGCGACGAUCCGUAGCUGGUCUGAGAGGAUGAUCAGCCACACUGGAACUGAGACACGGUCAAGGCUCCUACGGGAGGCAGCGGAGGGGAAUAUUGGACAAUGGGGGCAAGCCUGAUCCAGCCAUACCGCGUGGGUGAAGAAGGCCUUCGGGUUGUAAAGCCCUUUUGUUGGGAAAGAAAAGCAGCAGGUUAAUACCCCGCUGUUCUGACGGUACCCAAAGAAUAAGCACCGGCUAACUUCGUG
Molecule: ribosomal RNA, 492 nt
Filed under: uncultured bacterium
Lineage: Bacteria
Description: partial 16S ribosomal RNA
Rfam family: Bacterial small subunit ribosomal RNA
Source: RNAcentral